GACGAACGCUGGCGGCGUGCUUAACACAUGCAAGUCGAACGGAAAGACCCUGCUUUUGUGGGGUGCUCGAGUGGCGAACGGGUGAGUAACACGUGAGUAACCUGCCCUUGACUUUGGGAUAACUUCAGGAAACUGGGGCUAAUACCGGAUAGGAGCUCCUGCUGCAUGGUGGGGGUUGGAAAGUUUCGGCGGUUGGGGAUGGACUCGCGGCUUAUCAGCUUGUUGGUGAGGUAGUGGCUUACCAAGGCUUUGACGGGUAGCCGGCCUGAGAGGGUGACCGGCCACAUUGGGACUGAGAUACGGCCCAGACUCCUACGGGAGGCAGCAGUGGGGAAUAUUGCACGAUGGGCGGAAGCCUGAUGCAGCAACGCCGCGUGCGGGAUGACGGCCUUCGGGUUGUAAACCGCUUUCGCCUGUGACGAAGCGUGAGUGACGGUAAUGGGUAAAGAAGCACCGGCUAACUACGUG
Molecule: ribosomal RNA, 468 nt
Filed under: uncultured bacterium
Lineage: Bacteria
Description: partial 16S ribosomal RNA
Rfam family: Bacterial small subunit ribosomal RNA
Source: RNAcentral